This 94-nucleotide small nuclear RNA is filed under the name Phascolarctos cinereus (koala). Lineage: Eukaryota; Metazoa; Chordata; Mammalia; Diprotodontia; Phascolarctidae. The record is from RNAcentral.
GUGGCUUUGGCAGCACAUAUACGAAAAUUAGAACAGGUUAGCAUGGCCCCUAUGCAAGGAUGACAUGCAAAUUUGUGAAGCAUUCCUUUUUAUU